UCCAAUACAUUGCUUCAUUAUAAGUGGACAUUGGAAUGUAGCCAGAGAAUUGCACAAAUGAAACUGGGACCUAAUACAUACACACACGCACGCCGCAGGCAGGCACGUACACACACAGGGAGGAAUACUUACAGGGCGCACUUCCUGACAAGAGUUGGUGAAUUGCCGGGCCAGACCAAAGUCAAGCAUGUAGCAGCAUCGGCACGUGCUGGCCAGGCGUCCCAUGGCAAAGUUUGACUGGAGCGGUAAAAAACGCAGGAAGCCCACAGAGUGGAUGCUCUCGAUGGCCUCCAGCAUCUGCCUGCCCAGCCUCAGAGUGGUGGAGAUGGUGAAGGUGCCACGAGACAUAGUUCUGCGCAGGUCUGCCAGAUUCCUCCCCUAUAGGACACAGUAAAGCAAUGUUUGUGGGAUGGGGUAUGGGACAUUGUCAUGGUCACCCAAGGCUGAGCUACUCAAUCAUGCAUUUACACACAUUUUUUAAUACGUUAUUUGAAUCCACAAAUCACAUUACAAUCAAAAGGUUUCAAACAUUCCAAAGAGCGGGCAUGCACACACUGUACAGCCUACCUGAAGCUCCAUCACCACAUAGUUGAAGCGGUCAUUACGACCACAGCCCACAAAGCGACACACGUGAUCUUUCCCUGAAACAGAGAAACAUAAAUGUAGCUUACGACACACCAGAUAUGUACAGUAUCUGGCUAAAUGAUUCAUGUAAAUAUGCAAUCAAUAUUUUCCAUAAAGGUUAGAUGCAGGUUUUUAAGUGAAUUUCCUAGUUAUGGACAUUUCAGUGUUUUACUAACGAUGUCCAUUUUAGACGUAUUCCUAUCUCUCACCCUGGAGCUUCUUCAGCACAGCCACUUCCAUCUUCAGCACCUGUUUGGGCUGCUGUGCAGACUCCACCUUCAGGGCCACGUUGACCUGGCUCAGUUGAUCCAGUACCUCGUAGAUCUCCCCGAAGCCUCCCCCGCCAAUCUUCUUCACCUGCAAAUGGAAUGGAGGAGAAGGUAGAAUUCAGGUCUGUCACUGACAGGAUGUCUGCCGCCUGCUCUACAACGCAACUCAUCUCGAGUGCUCCCAACGAAGGUCUGAACCUGGCAUUAGUGUCACUGGCUUCUUACUGCAGUAAGGGAGAAAGGACAGAGACAAUUAGAUCUUUUAUCUGACAAAUCAUGCAAAAGUAUUGGGGACCUUGGCUACCUCCACCUACAUGUGUCCUCAGAGAGAUGUCAUAAUUUGCGUGCUGUCACUGUCAUUUCAUUUUCUUUACCAAUAAACUAAUGUAAAGGAUGUA
Salvelinus namaycush (lake trout) is the source of this 1291-nucleotide long non-coding RNA. RefSeq lists it as uncharacterized. The record is from RefSeq and is a predicted model, not a curated record. The transcript has 3 exons. NCBI's taxonomy places the organism in Eukaryota, Metazoa, Chordata, Actinopteri, Salmoniformes, Salmonidae.